GUAGGCUAAAGCAGCACAGGGAGGGGCAAGAGAGCGGUAGAGACGGGCGCACAAACUAAUUUGGCCACGUCUGUUCUCCCAUAACCAGCGCUCUACAAGCUGAAAGCCGUUCUGCAAGAGAUGUUUGGUCUGUCUUUGUCGUAGGGUUUACUCAUAAUUCCGAGGAGCGUUUGAAAUCGUCGGAGUGAACCGAGUUUUACACCCUUGGCGCUGUGCUUUUGAUGGCGUUCUUGCAGAGGACUGGAGACUACUGCCACGCUCAACAUCCCAGAGCAUAGGCUGAUCCAGGGGAGGAUGCCCACUGCUCUGCCUUCUCCGCCUAAUACCCUGCACUGAUCCCUGGGUACCAACGCAUCGAGGGCUCCCUGCCUCCCAGGACUCUCCACACCCUAGGUCUGUCACUCUAAGACCCUCUCUCAGGAACCCUAAUGGGAUGAUUGGACUAACUAUUCCACGACUCUUCAGUGAAAGCCCAAGACCUC
Long non-coding RNA from Oncorhynchus tshawytscha (Chinook salmon), 482 nucleotides. Lineage: Eukaryota; Metazoa; Chordata; Actinopteri; Salmoniformes; Salmonidae. The record is from Ensembl.